This 219-nucleotide microRNA precursor is filed under the name Nicotiana tabacum (common tobacco). Its description in RNAcentral is "miR6161b stem-loop (nta-MIR6161b)". The record is from miRBase by way of RNAcentral. Lineage: Eukaryota; Viridiplantae; Streptophyta; Magnoliopsida; Solanales; Solanaceae.
AUUUUGCUGCAACAGAGACUGGUCCAGCAUAAUAUAUUGGAGUUCGGUGCACCUGUGUAUGAACUCCAGCAUAUUAUGCUGGACCGGUAUACUUUGCUGACUCCAGUAUAAUAUACUAGAGACUGGAGAGUCUAGCAUAAUAUAUUGGAGUUCGGUGCACCUGUGUAUGAACUCCAGCAUAUUAUGCUGGACCGGUAUACUUUGCUGACUCCAGUAUAU